CCCAAGAGAUGGUGUAUACAUAGCACUUUGUCAACUGUAAAGUCCUAUGUAGAUAUUGUAAUUUAGCCUUGGCUAGAGAAGGCCUCACAAAGGAGGUAGGGUACAUAAGCCUGAGCUGGAAGAGUAGGUGGCAGGUGGCAGAGGGGUGAGGAGGGCCUUACAGGUGGGGGGGACAUGGGUGCUGCUGGGAGGUUGGAGUGAGCAUGGUCAGGAGACAUGAGUUGGCCCUCCUCACAUCCAACUUGAGAGGUUGGUGCUCACCUCUCCCUUCCACAGAUGAGGAUGCUGGGGGAUCCGAAGGCACCAGAGACACUGCACGUCUCCGGCUCCUGGAACAUGCUCCUCCUCCUUUGACCAUGUGGUUCCCUCUAAUCACAGCGACUACCUCAGUAUUUGUUUGUUUGAUAAACUUCUGUUGAUCCUUCACAAUGCAGCAAGGCAGAAAACCAUGCAGAUAUCCAAGUGGCCAGUGUGAAGCUGUGCCCCACCUCCCGAACUCCCCACCCCCAGUCUCUCUGCUGGUCAGGGAAACAAAUUUGCUCUUCAAAUUUGCUGCUCCAACGUUAACUGCAUUUAGAUAAGCUGGAGGAGGGGUCCUAAGGACAGAGCGUGAUACGUACUUGUCCUCAGAGGAAGCAGAGGUUUACCAUUGUUCUGUCAACUUGACCAUGAAGAGUGCAUCUGGCCAGACAACAUGAUGCAGCCUGGAAUUGCCAUCUCUCCUCCUGGGAGGUUUAUCCCUCCCAUCUGCUACAUUUCACCCAAAUGAGGAUGCAGAUCAGAAACAUGACUUGGAGGACAAGGAUGCCCACUUCGCUCAGCUGGCCUUGGGGAUUACUGGUCGUCACUCAGUUUAUGUGACCAUGUUGGAACCUCUAGACGCUGACUCUGAUCUGCUGUCAUUAGAAACACCAAACAUUUACCAAAAGAGCCAAGUCACUGAACCCAAGGGGUUAGUUUGUUUUGAAAACAGACCUAGACUUUCUACCAAGAGCCAGAAAAUCAUUGAAAACAUAAAACAACAAAAAUCUGUGGUGUGUUUGUAAAAAACGAAGACUCUGACCCUGAUCUAAACCAGAGUAUUUUUCUCCUGGCUCCCUCCCUUUUUCCCUUAAUUAGGCUAACUGGAAAGGAAAGGCUUUCAUCAGACCCAAACAGUAAUCUUCCUACCCUAAUCUCUAGGACAAAACAGAGAAUCUGGUCUGGAAUUGAAUUUGAAAUAUUAAAGAAAAA
RNAcentral lists this long non-coding RNA (1233 nucleotides) under Equus caballus (horse). Its description in RNAcentral is "lncRNA (ENSECAG00000041004.2)". The record is from RNAcentral. Lineage: Eukaryota; Metazoa; Chordata; Mammalia; Perissodactyla; Equidae.